RNAcentral lists this ribosomal RNA (253 nucleotides) under uncultured bacterium. RNAcentral describes it as "partial 16S ribosomal RNA". It matches the Rfam family "Bacterial small subunit ribosomal RNA", at positions 524 to 776 of the family's 1533-position model. The record is from RNAcentral.
UACGGAGGGUGCAAGCGUUAUCCGGAUUUAUUGGCUUUAAAGGGUGCGUAGGCGGAUUGAUAAGUCAGUGGUGAAAUCUUCCAGCUCAACUGGGAAACUGCCAUUGAUACUGUCGAUCUUGAAUUUAGUUGAAGUAGGCGGAAUGAGGCAUGUAGCGGUGAAAUGCAUAGAUAUGCCUCAGAACACCGAUUGCGAAGGCAGCUUACUAAGCUAUAAUUGACGCUGAGGCACGAAAGCGUGGGGAGCAAACAGG